Molecule: non-coding RNA, 83 nt
Organism: Podarcis lilfordi (Lilford's wall lizard)
Lineage: Eukaryota; Metazoa; Chordata; Lepidosauria; Squamata; Lacertidae
Source: the annotation of a GenBank genome assembly
GCAGCGUGGAUAGCUCAGUUGGUUAGAGCGUGGUGCUGAUAACGCCAAGGCUGCAGGUUCAAUCCCUGUAUGGGACAGCUGCA